GUUGUUUGUCACUGUGCUGACGUUUGUGUGCUCUUAUUAAUCUCUGAUUUCAACAGACGUAAGUGGGGAUGCCGUCGUAUUUUUUUCUUUUUUUUGUGUGUCACAGGCUGAGCUGCCGGAACAUUGGCUUAUUGGUCGUGGUUGAAUAAUUCAUUUGAACCGCAGGAUUGCUGCCUGGCCAUGUGGUCCGUGUCAAUGACUGUCUGAGGGCGCGCGGGAACGGUACCACGACGGUGCGGGGGGGGAACGAUCCGCGCUCUCUCCGCUAACUCUCCUUCAUCAGCAGAAAUGCUAAACUACCCAGCGCAUCCUCCGCUGAUGAAUUCAUCUCAACCGUUUGUCAUGAGGCUGCGUGUUUUGGAAUUCCUCAUCUCAAACAGCGACGGCUCGGGCAGUUUGCGCCAGCUGCUUGACAGCAGCAUGUAUCCAAAGGUCUUCUUUGCACGGGGAAAGUUCCUGACAAGGGCGGUUUUGAAAAGGGACGGAGAUGUGAUCUCGGAUCCACGAUUCCAACCGGAAAGCAGCUCAAAUUCACAGGAAGCCCUGUGAUACAGAGACGUCUCCGAGGCGCGGUCGAUGUCGGAAUCUUCACCGAUGAACCGGUUUGGAAAGUUGUUUAAUAUUGAUAGUGUUUUCUUUGCAGAUUUUGAAUUUGUCAUCAAUACGUACUGGAGGAUGCAUUCACCUUCACACUGCUGCAGGCACCUCGUCCCAAAGUCAACACUUUGUCACUCGUCAAAUGGCAGACGUGUGAUCAAGAGGUUUAUUAAACUUCAUGUUUAAAAAAACAAAACAAAUUAUUACUAGAGAGAAUUUGCAUGUGUCGUAAAACGUGUGGUACCUUUUACACUGUCAGGCAGUUCAAUAAUGUGAUGUACUUCACCUCCUCAUUCAUUGGAAACUUCAAAGGUAUUAAAAUAAUAAUAGUAUACUUAGAUUGUAUCGAUGUACCAUAUGAGCAAAGGUACUUUUACAAACGGAACAAAAAUGCCCCCAAACCAUUUUGACUUACAGUAAUUGAGACGUGUCCGAAGUGCUCACUUAAACACACGGAACAUGCUCGCCUGCCACUUUGAUCACAGAGUUCAUGUAGCUGAACAAAUAUGCAAAUUCUUGAGUGCUGGUGCAUCGACAAGUCAAGCGUUAGUAAUACAAUGUUGUGUCUAGACACAGCAUUUUGGGGAGCGGAGGGGGGGGGGGUCCCUUUAUUUUAUUAGGGGGUUUGGUUAGUCGGACGUUCAAUAAUUUAUAGCUUUUUUUCCACCCAUUUCCCCCGUCUGGUAUGUCCUUUUUUCACAGCGCGGCAAAAACAAGCGGCGGUGAAAGACUCGCUUGUGUCUUACCUUCAGCUUUUAUUGUGAAAACCUCCUCGCUGUUAAGCGCACACUGCUGUCAUUGUUUGUAGAUGGUGGAAAAGAGUUUCCUUUGAGUCUGACGCUCGCGUCUGGCCUCGUCCCUCUGACCCCUCUUUGACGGGAAGGCCAUUUUCUUUCUCUCUGCAUGUGUGGGGAUUUUUUCAUUGUUAUUUCUUCUGUGCCCACGUGGUGGUGGUGGUCCGUGCGUGCUCGCUGGGGCUUUAGAUUACGUCGUUGCAGACAUUAACACUCUGGUGUUUGACGGCCUCUCGCUCUGCAAAACUCUAAUGUGGAGCACACUCCCACCAUCGCCACGAUCGUGUACCUCGCCAUGGUUCCAUACGUAUUUGGAGGAGGCGGGAGGAUUGCUGUGUAUUUAUCCUCCUCACACCCGCAGAGACUUUCUUUUCUUUUUUUUUUUUUUUUUUUAGUGUGGGGGCGGCGUCUCCCCGAGCUCACCCGGCAGUUCCAGUUACUUCCAGAAACAGCCCUUCCAGUGAGUCAGUGGGUCAGGGGGGAUUAACCCAGCAGCCUGUCAUGCCGCAGCUUCCAAUUACUUGGCCUUCCAUCCGCCCAACCUUCCUCUGGCGAAAGCUUUGUUUUACCAGCAGCACUCCCUGAAAUGUAUCUCGGCUACACCGAACCCGUCAGCGGAAGGGCUUUUAGGAGGCUCGCUUUGCCCUUCCUCUUUUGUUUUCUCGCCUCCUCCCUCUGCCUCCUUCCCCCGAAUCCUCUCCUCUGCCUACACUGCCUGUGUGUCGGCUCUCUGUUCUAAUGCGAGGCGGGGAUCAACCAGGCAGACCCCUGGAGUUUGACAGAGCUACCUGUUGUGCCGCCACGUUCCUUCCUCCGUAGCUCGCUCGCUAUCUUCUUCUCUCUCCCGCCUUCCCUCCCUCCCUCCCUCCCUAAGCACCAGAGCUGUCGACUCCUGGCAGUUUGAUUCUAAACUGUUCCCCAGUGUCGGGAGUAGCUGCCAUGACGGAGAGUAAAGCAAGUGAAAUAUUGAGUUUGUAGUGAACAAUUCCUCACUACGUGGUGUGCGGAAGGCCAGAAUGUUCCUGUUUCUUUAUCCCGUCUAGAAGGGUUUCUUCGUGGAUUCUUUUGUGAAGGAAAUAGUUAAACAUUUUGGCAAAACCCACUGAUUUGCUUUCCUUUCCCAGACAAAGUUCUACGAAUAUAUCAAGGCUCUGCAGCCAGGACUUGAUCGACCUUGUGAAGCCUAAAGGAAAUGGGAGCGGGUGGGAAGUGGUAUCAAAACCAGGCUUGAUUGCGGAAUGAACGGCAACCAUUGAGCAAGUUGGCUGCAAACAAAUCUUUGGUGUUGUGUAAAAGUUGUCCUCAACUAGCAUGUGAUGCAAACGAGCUGUGGGGUUCAUAUCUCCUCCUGUGGCCUCAGCAGACCCCUCUGCAUAACUGUGUCACACACACACACACACACACACAUACGUUUUAAGGCAUCCAGGUAUA
This is a non-coding RNA of Gasterosteus aculeatus aculeatus (three-spined stickleback), 2822 nucleotides long. The record is from RefSeq and is a predicted model, not a curated record. Lineage: Eukaryota; Metazoa; Chordata; Actinopteri; Perciformes; Gasterosteidae.